CAAAGUGUAGCUUAAACAAAAGCACCUAGCAGCCUUUUAGACACAGGAUACAACCUCUAUUA
Molecule: transfer RNA, 62 nt
Filed under: Myotis riparius (Riparian myotis)
Lineage: Eukaryota; Metazoa; Chordata; Mammalia; Chiroptera; Vespertilionidae
Description: tRNA-Val
Source: RNAcentral